GCGUUGCUCGGAAUGACUGGGCGUAAAGGGCGCGUAGGCGGUUUACACAGUCAGAUGUGAAAUUCCAGGGCUUAACCUUGGGGCUGCAUUUGAUACGUGUAGACUAGAGUGUGAGAGAGGGUUGUGGAAUUCCCAGUGUAGAGGUGAAAUUCGUAGAUAUUGGGAAGAACACCGGUGGCGGAGGCGGCAACGUGGCUCAUUACUGACGCAGAGGCGCGAAAUCGUG
Molecule: ribosomal RNA, 226 nt
Filed under: uncultured bacterium
Lineage: Bacteria
Description: partial 16S ribosomal RNA
Rfam family: Bacterial small subunit ribosomal RNA
Source: RNAcentral